RNAcentral lists this small RNA (986 nucleotides) under Pan troglodytes (chimpanzee). RNAcentral describes it as "retained intron". Lineage: Eukaryota; Metazoa; Chordata; Mammalia; Primates; Hominidae. The record is from RNAcentral.
AUGCCUCAGUGUCUGGAGUAGCUGGGAUUACAGGCACGCGCCACCAUGCCCAGCUAAUUUUUGUAUUUUUAGUAGAGACGGGGUUUCAGCAUGUUGGUUAGGCUGGUCUUGAACUCCUGACCUCGUGAUCCGCCCUCCUCGGCCUCCCAAAGUGCCGGGAUUACAGGCGUGAGCCACUGCUCCCGGCGUUUGGGUUUUUUAAGCUAUUCAAAUUAAGUAGACUGGAAUCUGGAGCAGUGUGUGUGACAACCCCUCUGCACACCCAACUUUCCCCGGGCCGGCUAGUGACUCAAAGCGACAGCCCAGAUUUAAGAAAACGAAACCUAGUGCAGCUGGGGCACUUCCGGGAUCUCGCUAUCCGGCCGCCACCCGCAGCUGCAGCACAGUCAUGGCCCAGGCGUCGCCGCCCCGGCCCGAGAGGGUGCUCGGCGCCAGCAGCCCGGAGGCCCAGCCCGCGCAGGAGGCGCUCCUCCUUCCCACCGGUGUCUUUCAGGUUGCAGAAAAGAUGGAAAAAAGGACAUGUGCACUCUGCCCCAAAGAUGUCGAGUAUAAUGUCCUGUACUUUGCACAAUCAGAGAAUAUAGCUGCUCAUGAGAAUUGUUUGCUGUAUUCUUCAGGACUUGUGGAAUGUGAGGAUCAGGAUCCACUUAAUCCUGAUAGAAGUUUUGAUGUGGAAUCAGUAAAGAAAGAAAUCCAGAGAGGAAGGAAGUUGAAAUGCAAAUUUUGUCAUAAAAGAGGAGCCACCGUGGGAUGUGAUUUAAAAAACUGUAACAAGAAUUACCACUUUUUCUGUGCCAAGAAGGACGACGCAGUUCCACAGUCUGACGGAGUUCGAGGAAUUUAUAAACUGCUUUGCCAGCAACAUGCUCAAUUCCCGAUCAUCGCUCAAAGUGGUAAGUUUCUAAAAUUUAGCACUGUGGGUUUUAAAGAAAGGUAAACAUUUAUGUAACAUAAGGAAUAGUCUAAUUUUCUAGCCUCGUUGAAUU